AUACGGAGGGUGCGAGCGUUGUUCGGCAUUAUUGGGCGUAAAGAGCAUGUAGGCGGUCUGUUAAGUCUGGUGUGAAAGCCCGGGGCUCAACCCCGGAAGUGCAUUGGAUACUGGCAGACUUGAGUAUGGGAGAGGAAAGCGGAAUUCCGAGUGUAGGAGUGAAAUCCGUAGAUAUUCGGAGGAACACCAGUGGCGAAGGCGGCUUUCUGGACCAAUACUGGCGCUGAGAUGCGAAAGCGUGGGGAGCAAACAGGAUUAGAAACCCGUGUAGUCC
RNAcentral lists this ribosomal RNA (274 nucleotides) under uncultured bacterium. RNAcentral describes it as "partial 16S ribosomal RNA". It matches the Rfam family "Bacterial small subunit ribosomal RNA", at positions 523 to 796 of the family's 1533-position model. The record is from RNAcentral.